RNAcentral lists this ribosomal RNA (2699 nucleotides) under groundwater metagenome. RNAcentral's name for it is "bacterial LSU rRNA". The stretch from base 1 to 2140 matches the Rfam family "Bacterial large subunit ribosomal RNA". The record is from RNAcentral.
UCAAGAGAACAAGGGCACACGGUGGAUGCCUUGGCACUUAGAGCCGAUGAAGGAUGUGGGCGGCUGCGAUAAGCCUGGGGGAGACGCUGACCAGUCAUUGAUCCCAGGAUUUCCGAAUGAGGAAACUCACCCGUGGUAAUGCGCGGGUACCCGUACCUGAAUACAUAGGGUACGAGGAGGCAAGCUGGGGAACUGAAACAUCUAAGUACCCAGAGGAAAGGAAAGAAACCUCGACUCCCUGAGUAGUGGCGAGCGAAAAGGGAAGAGCCCAAACCUAUGCGACGUGAUAGACGGCAGUCGUUGUCGUGUAGGGGUUGUAGGGCUCGUCUUCAUCCGUCUGCCGGCGGGGGGGGGAGUUACAAAGUUGUGCGUUAGCCGAAGUGGAUGGAAAGCCACGCCACAGAAGGUAACGGCCCUGUAGGCGAAAACGUACAGCCUCCCUUGACGAGUACCUGAGUACGGCCGGUCACGUGAAACCCGGUCGGAACCCGCGGGGACCACCCCGCAAGGCUAAGUACUCCUCAGUGACCGAUAGUGAACUAGUACCGUGAGGGAAAGGUGAAAAGUACCCCGGAAGGGGAGUGAAAUAGUACCUGAAACCGUGUGCUUACAAGCGGUCGGAGCGGACUUGUUCCGUGACGGCGUGCCUUUUGCAUAAUGAGCCAGCGAGUUAGUCUUCCACGGCAAGGUUAAGGAAACGGAGCCGUAGCGAAAGCGAGUCUGAAUAGGGCGAUUCAGUCGUGGGAGCUAGACCCGAAACUGAGUGAUCUACCCAUGGGCAGGUUGAAGCGGGGGUAAGACCCCGUGGAGGACCGAACCCACGUCGGUUGAAAACGGCGGGGAUGACCUGUGGGUCGGAGUGAAAGGCUAAUCAAACUCAGAGAUAUCUGGUUCUCCCCGAAAUAUAUUUAGGUAUAGCGUCGCGUGUUCAAUACCGGUUGUAGAGCACUGUUUGGUCUAGGGGGCCUACCAGCUUACCGAAAUCAGGCAAACUCCGAAUGCCGGUAUUCCAGAGCGCGGCAGUCAGAGUGCGAGGGAUAAGCUUCGUGCUCAAAAGGGAAACAGCCCAGACCGUCGGCUAAGGCCCCUAAUUCCUAGCUAAGUGGGAAACGAUGUCCGAUUGCACAGACAACCAGGAUGUUGGCUUAGAAGCAGCCACCAUUAAAAGAGUGCGUAACAGCUCACUGGUCAAGUGGUCGGGCGCGGACAAUGUAACGGGGCUCAAGCUAGGAGCCGAAGCCACGGACUUCGCGCAAGCGGAGUGGUAGGGGAGCGUUCCCUGGCCGGUGAAGCGGCGGCGUAAGCCAGCCGUGGAGGCCUGGGAAGUGAGAAUGCUGGCAUGAGUAACGAAAGAGGAGUGAGAAACUCCUCCGCCGAAUGCCCAAGGGUUCCUGAGUAAAGCUAAUCUGCUCAGGGUUAGUCGGGACCUAAGCCGAGGCCGCAAGGCGUAGGCGAUGGACAACAGGUUGAUAUUCCUGUACCACGUCCCCACCGCUAUCACCGAUGGCGGGACGGGGUAGGCUAGGGGAUCCCCGGCGAUGGUCGUCCGGGGGUAACCGCGUAGGGCGGGCGAUAGGUAAAUCCGUCGCCCACUAAGCCUGAGACGGGAUGCCGAGCUCCGUGAGGAGCGAAGUCCUUGAAGCCAUGCCUCCUAGAAAAGCGUCUAGGGAGGUGGGACGUGCCCGUACCAAAACCGACACAGGUGGGCAGGUAGAGAAUACCAAGGCGAUCGGAAGAACCCUCGUUAAGGAACUCGGCAAAAUGGCCCCGUAACUUCGGGAGAAGGGGCGCCCCGGUAGGGUGACGCGGAUUUACUCCGCUGAGUCCGAGGGGGCCGCAGUGAAACGGCCCAAGCGACUGUUUACCAAAAACACAGGUCUCUGCUAAGUCGUAAGACGACGUAUAGGGGCUGACGCCUGCCCGGUGCUGGAAGGUCACGAGGAGAGGUUAGCCUUCGGGCGAAGCUUUGAAUCCAAGCCCCAGUAAACGGCGGCGGUAACUAUAACCGUCCUAAGGUGACAAGUCUGCAAUGGACAGUGCAGUGUCCGCAGGCGAUUCGUUGCCCCCCGCGUGAGUAAUUGCGCGGUGCGCAUUUGGCUAUAUGCUGGAAAACCCGUGUAUCUCGCACUACCUCGUGACGUCCGAUCGGACGUUUACCAUGGUGACAACGUGACGAGUGCGGAAAAUCAGCAGGAAAGACUGAUCGAGUUCCGUGGUUGGGUGAUCGGUUUCGUAGACGGAGAAGGAUGCUUCUCAAUCGGCCUCGCCCGGCAAGCAAGCCGGCCCGGUCGAAGCGGCUACACGACCGGAUACCAGGUCUCACACGAUUUUGUGGUGACGCAGGGCGCCAGUAGCGUCUCGUGUCUUCACGACCUGUGUGAGUUCUUCGGAGCGGGGAAGGUGUACGUGAACCGGCGGCAUGACAACCACCGGGAACACCUUCACCGUUACGUCGUUUGUCGUCGAGAGGAUCUGCUCGAACGGAUCAUUCCGUUCUUCCGGCAGUAUCCGCUUCGAACGGCCAAGCAGUUCGACUUCGAGAAGUUCUCUUUCUGUGUCGAGCUGAUGGCUGAAGGUCGACACAAGACGCACGCUGGUCUUGCGGAGAUCGUUGAGGUCAUGCAGACGAUGAAUCGACGGAAACCCAGGCACGAGCUCCUCAGUAUCCUCAGAGGCCAUACGCCAGACAUCCAGGCCAC